ACGCUGGCGGCGUGCCUAAUACAUGCAAGUAGAACGCUGAAGUCUGGUGCUUGCACUAGACGGAUGAGUUGCGAACGGGUGAGUAACGCGUAGGUAACCUGCCUCAUAGCGGGGGAUAACUAUUGGAAACGAUAGCUAAUACCGCAUAACAGUAUUUACCGCAUGGUAGAUAUUUGAAAGGAGCAAUUGCUUCACUAUGAGAUGGACCUGCGUUGUAUUAGCUAGUUGGUGAGGUAACGGCUCACCAAGGCUUCGAUACAUAGCCGACCUGAGAGGGUGAUCGGCCACACUGGGACUGAGACACGGCCCAGACUCCUACGGGAGGCAGCAGUAGGGAAUCUUCGGCAAUGGGGGCAACCCUGACCGAGCAACGCCGCGUGAGUGAAGAAGGUUUUCGGAUCGUAAAGCUCUGUUGUAAGAGAAGAACUGUGAGAAGAGUGGAAAGUUUCUCACUUGACGGUAUCUUACCAGAAAGGGACGGCUAACUACGUGCCAGCAGCCGCGGUAAUACGUAGGUCCCGAGCGUUGUCCGGAUUUAUUGGGCGUAAAGCGAGCGCAGGCGGUUUGAUAAGUCUGAAGUAAAAGGCUGUGGCUUAACCAUAGUACGCUUUGGAAACUGUCAAACUUGAGUGCAGAAGGGGAGAGUGGAAUUCCAUGUGUAGCGGUGAAAUGCGUAGAUAUAUGGAGGAACACCGGUGGCGAAAGCGGCUCUCUGGUCUGUAACUGACGCUGAGGCUCGAAAGCGUGGGGAGCGAACAGGAUUAGAUACCCUGGUAGUCCACGCCGUAAACGAUGAGUGCUAGGUGUUGGGUCCUUUCCGGGACUCAGUGCCGCAGCUAACGCAUUAAGCACUCCGCCUGGGGAGUACGACCGCAAGGUUGAAACUCAAAGGAAUUGACGGGGGCCCGCACAAGCGGUGGAGCAUGUGGUUUAAUUCGAAGCAACGCGAAGAACCUUACCAGGUCUUGACAUCCCGAUGACCGCCCUAGAGAUAGGGUUUCUCUUCGGAGCAUCGGUGACAGGUGGUGCAUGGUUGUCGUCAGCUCGUGUCGUGAGAUGUUGGGUUAAGUCCCGCAACGAGCGCAACCCCUAUUGUUAGUUGCCAUCAUUCAGUUGGGCACUCUAGCGAGACUGCCGGUAAUAAACCGGAGGAAGGUGGGGAUGACGUCAAAUCAUCAUGCCCCUUAUGACCUGGGCUACACACGUGCUACAAUGGCUGGUACAACGAGUCGCAAGUCGGUGACGGCAAGCUAAUCUCUUAAAGCCAGUCUCAGUUCGGAUUGUAGGCUGCAACUCGCCUACAUGAAGUCGGAAUCGCUAGUAAUCGCGGAUCAGCACGCCGCGGUGAAUACGUUCCCGGGCCUUGUACACACCGCCCGUCACACCACGAGAGUUUGUAACACCCGAAGUCGGUGAGGUAACCUUUUAGGAGCCAGCCGCCUAAGGUGGGAUAGAUGAU
Molecule: ribosomal RNA, 1459 nt
Filed under: Streptococcus suis
Lineage: Bacteria; Bacillati; Bacillota; Bacilli; Lactobacillales; Streptococcaceae
Description: bacterial SSU rRNA
Rfam family: Bacterial small subunit ribosomal RNA
Source: RNAcentral